This 261-nucleotide unclassified non-coding RNA is filed under the name plant metagenome. RNAcentral's name for it is "partial contains small subunit ribosomal RNA, internal transcribed spacer 1, and 5.8S ribosomal RNA". The record is from RNAcentral.
UUUCCGUAGGUGAACCUGCGGAAGGAUCAUUAUUGAAUGAAACACUUCUGGCUUUAUGCUGUUGUGCUGGCCCUUUGGGCAAUGUGCACACGGCUCUGGUCACUUGUUUCUUCUGUUCCACCUGUGCACUGCCUGUAGACACGCUGUGUCUAUGAUAUUUGUUAACACACAACAAUGUUAGUUGGCAUGUUAUAUAUAAUAAUAAAAUAUACAACUUUCAACAACGGAUCUCUUGGCUCUCGCAUCGCUGAACCACGCAGC